AAACUUUCAACAACGGAUCUCUUGGUUCUGGCAACGAUGAAGAACGCAGCGAAAUGCGAUAAGUAAUGUGAAUUGCAGAAUUCCGUGAAUCAUCGAAUCUUUGAACGCACAUUGCGCCCACCAGUACUCUGGUGGGCAUGCCUGUCCGAGCGUCAUUU
This 158-nucleotide ribosomal RNA is filed under the name Spadicoides bina. RNAcentral describes it as "5.8S ribosomal RNA". It matches the Rfam family "5.8S ribosomal RNA". Rfam says of the family: 5.8S ribosomal RNA (5.8S rRNA) is a component of the large subunit of the eukaryotic ribosome. It is transcribed by RNA polymerase I as part of the 45S precursor that also contains 18S and 28S rRNA. The record is from RNAcentral. RNAcentral also lists the same sequence under 1 other name. Lineage: Eukaryota; Fungi; Ascomycota; Sordariomycetes; Xenospadicoidales; Xenospadicoidaceae.